ACUCCUACGGGAGGCAGCAGUGGGGAAUAUUGGACAAUGGGCGCAAGCCUGAUCCAGCCAUGCCGCGUGAGUGAUGAAGGCCCUAGGGUUGUAAAGCUCUUUCACCGGUGAAGAUAAUGACGGUAACCGGAGAAGAAGCCCCGGCUAACUUCGUGCCAGCAGCCGCGGUAAU
Molecule: ribosomal RNA, 172 nt
Filed under: uncultured bacterium
Lineage: Bacteria
Also listed under: 4 other names
Description: partial 16S ribosomal RNA
Rfam family: Bacterial small subunit ribosomal RNA
Source: RNAcentral